RNAcentral lists this ribosomal RNA (666 nucleotides) under uncultured bacterium. Its description in RNAcentral is "bacterial SSU rRNA". It matches the Rfam family "Bacterial small subunit ribosomal RNA", at positions 9 to 671 of the family's 1533-position model. The record is from RNAcentral.
GAGUUUGAUCAUGGCUCAGGAUGAACGCUAGCGGGAGGCCUAACACAUGCAAGUCGAGGGGCAGCAUUGUAGCUUGCUACAGAUGGCGACCGGCGCACGGGUGAGUAACGCGUAUGCAACCUGCCUUACACUGAGGGAUAGCCCAUGGAAACGUGGAUUAAUACCUCAUGGUUCCUAUUUAUCGCAUGGUAAUAAGGAUAAAGAAUUUCGGUGUAAGAUGGGCAUGCGUGACAUUAGGUAGUUGGUGAGGUAACGGCUCACCAAGCCGACGAUGUCUAGGGGUUCUGAGAGGAUGAUCCCCCACACUGGUACUGAGACACGGACCAGACUCCUACGGGAGGCAGCAGUGAGGAAUAUUGGUCAAUGGGCGCAAGCCUGAACCAGCCAUCCCGCGUGUAUGAUGACGGCCUUAUGGGUUGUAAAGUACUUUUAUCUACCAAGAAAAGCAGUCACGUGUGAUUGUCUGACGGUAGUAGAUGAAUAAGCACCGGCUAACUCCGUGCCAGCAGCCGCGGUAAUACGGAGGGUGCAAGCGUUAUCCGGAUUCAUUGGGUUUAAAGGGUGCGUAGGCGGGCUUAUAAGUCAGUGGUGAAAUCUUGCGGCUCAACCGUAAAACUGCCAUUGAUACUGUAGGUCUUGAAUACACUGGAGGUAGGCGGAAUAUGU